RNAcentral lists this ribosomal RNA (593 nucleotides) under uncultured bacterium. Its description in RNAcentral is "bacterial SSU rRNA". It matches the Rfam family "Bacterial small subunit ribosomal RNA", at positions 552 to 1145 of the family's 1533-position model. The record is from RNAcentral.
UACUGGGGGUAAAGCGUGCGUAGGCGGCUUUUUAAGUCGGAUGUGAAAUCCCCGAGCUUAACUUGGGAAUUGCAUUCGAUACUGGGAAGCUAGAGUAUGGGAGAGGAUGGUAGAAUUCCAGGUGUAGCGGUGAAAUGCGUAGAGAUCUGGAGGAAUACCGAUGGCGAAGGCAGCCAUCUGGNCUAAUACUGACGCUGAGGUACGAAAGCAUGGGGAGCAAACAGGAUUAGAUACCCUGGUAGUCCAUGCCGUAAACGAUGUCUACUAGCCGKUGGGGCCUUUGAGGCUUUAGUGGCGCAGCUAACGCGAUAAGUAGACCGCCUGGGGAGUACGGUCGCAAGACUAAAACUCAAAUGAAUUGACGGGGGCCCGCACAAGCGGUGGAGCAUGUGGUUUAAUUCGAUGCAACGCGAAGAACCUUACCUGGUCUUGACAUAGUAAGAACUUUCCAGAGAUGGAUUGGUGCCUUCGGGAACUUACAUACAGGUGCUGCAUGGCUGUCGUCAGCUCGUGUCGUGAGAUGUUGGGUUAAGUCCCGCAACGAGCGCAACCCUUUUCCUUAUUUGGCAGCACUUCGGGUGGGAACUUUAAGG